This 2095-nucleotide long non-coding RNA is filed under the name Homo sapiens (human). RNAcentral's name for it is "HSALNT0252784". Lineage: Eukaryota; Metazoa; Chordata; Mammalia; Primates; Hominidae. The record is from RNAcentral.
AAAAAUGUGACUUUCUGACCCCUAGUUCUGGAAAUGCUACCUAGUGUUCUGCCUUGGUCUUCUGCCACUGUGAAUUGUUAGCCACGAGAAGGUGCUGGAUGUCCCUGCAUAGCCUGAACGUGCUCCCCAGGAGACUAGAGCCCUUGCCUACCAUUGCAGUGAAUUCCUCAAGGGACUGGGAAGGAAGGGAAACAGGUGAAUAUUUCUUCAAUGUCAACUCAAGCAAAAUUGGGAGCAAGUGAUACACACCCAUUUAAAAACCAAGCUGAGAAUGGAGUUUUACCUCUUCCCAAAAUAUCAAACAGAGGAAAUUAGAAAGGAGACUCUUCUGACAGAACUUACCCCUGAGAGUGAUGUCGAUGAGCUACAGGAGAAGCUGGCAGCUUUCCCCACAGAGUUGGACACACACAGGCUCAGGACUCAGAAGUGAAGAAAGAUUCCGUGGGGUUGGAAGAGCUGCAGGCCUGGAUGAAGUCCCCAGAAACAAGUGACCGUGGAAACAUCCUGCUGAGAUGGAGAAACUGUGACUCGCUCUGUCUGCAUCCCUGAGCUUUCACCUGGAAAAGGCACUGACCUUGUGUGUCGAAGUCUGCAGACUUUCAUUUUGGAGAUAUAUUUCACUCUGAAUAGUGAAUCAGAGUGGGGUGAAACAUCUGGCUUAUAAAAUGUUUCAAACCUCAAACCACUUUAGAUACUUGGAAAUCAUCUUCUCCACACAUUUAUUAUAAAACAGGAAGAGACCCAGAAAAAAUGCCACUCUGUUUUGAAGAUGGAAAAAUACCAGCUGUGGCUGCUGUCCAGGGGAGAACCCUGCUCCAAGUGCUCAACAUUGGCUGCUGUAGUUCAUGGAAUAUUUAAUUGUCUGCUGAAAAAUGAAUUGCAAUUAGCAUUAACCAGCUUUUAAAUAUUUGCUUGCAUUACAGUUUUUCCUUUUUAUUUUGAUGAAAAAGAAAAAAAAUUAGAAUGCUAAAGAAUACAGAAGGCUUGGUUUAUUUGAGAGUAAUACAGACAUGUUGUCCAGAACCAUGCUAGUUGCUUUAUUUUCUCUAAUUUUUCAGACUAAUGCCAUGGGAGAUACCCUCUCCAUUAUAUUAAAUAGAAAACUGAAACUCAGGCAGAUAAAAUAAUAAAUCCAAGUCCCCAUUGAAAGUAAGAAUUGAAAACCAAGACUAUCUAUGGCAAAAUGUGAUCUUCUCAACACUUACAGUGUCUUUAUAUCUUUGACUUCUCUUUUUCUGUCUCUCUUUAUAGAUUUAUAACCUAUUUCUCCAUCCAUCCAUCCAUCCAUCCAUCCAUCCAUCCAUCCAUCCAUCCAUCCAUUUAUCCAUCCAUCCAUCCAUCCAUCCAUCCAUCCAUCCAUCCAUCCAUUUAUCCAUCCAUCCAUUUUUCCAUCCAUCCAUCCAUCCAUCCAUCUAUCCAUCCAUCCACCCAUACAUCCAUCCAUCCAUCCAUCCAACUAUCCAUCCAUCCCAUUGCAUGUUGUUUCCUAUCUACAUUCCUAACUCUGCCUAUCAUACAAUUAUUUGGCAUUAUCCUUUAAUUGGCAAUAGGGUUGCCAGCAGGUGUCCUGAAAUUUUCCUAUGCCAAAAGUUCUAUUCUGUAAAGAGUAAUAGACUUUUAAGGUGAGAAGGUUAUUUUGAAGACUGAUAAAUAUCUUUUCUGUUGUAUGUGAGGAAAUUUAGGCCCAGGGAAAUUAAGCAACUUAUUUACACUGGCAUAUUAAGUUAUUGGCAGAGAUUAAAUAUAAUUAAGUCUUUUGACUCAUAAUUUAUUUUUCCACCUGGAACUUUAGGUUAAAGGCUACUAGUUAAAUAUUGAAUAAGCUCAAAUAUAACAUUUCCAGGUAACCAAAAAAGGGAGAAAAAAUCUAUUCAUAGAGUCGAUUUGUUUUAUAAGUUAAUGCAAGGAUUUUAAAAAUCACAUGGACUUACAAAUUCCAGGAUAAAUACCUUCCUUUCUAGAGACUGACACUGCUGUGUAGAACACAAGGCAGCAUUUCUGAAUGAAAUUGGCCUAUUUAUAAGGUUUGCCUCCAGUAGAUUCUGCUAAACCUAUGGUGUCAGCCAGAUGCAGUGACUCAUGCCUAUAAUCCCAG